Molecule: ribosomal RNA, 465 nt
Filed under: uncultured bacterium
Lineage: Bacteria
Description: partial 16S ribosomal RNA
Rfam family: Bacterial small subunit ribosomal RNA
Source: RNAcentral
GACGAACGCUGGCGGCGUGCUUAACACAUGCAAGUCGAACGGAAAGGCCCUGCUUGCAGGGUACUCGAGUGGCGAACGGGUGAGUAACACGUGGGUGAUCUGCCCUGCACUUCGGGAUAAGCCUGGGAAACUGGGUCUAAUACCGGAUAGGAGCCAUUUUUAGUGUGAUGGUUGGAAAGUUUUUUCGGUGUAGGAUGAGCUCGCGGCCUAUCAGCUUGUUGGUGGGGUAAUGGCCUACCAAGGCGGCGACGGGUAGCCGGCCUGAGAGGGUGGACGGCCACAUUGGGACUGAGAUACGGCCCAGACUCCUACGGGAGGCAGCAGUGGGGAAUAUUGCACAAGGGGCGCAAGCCUGAUGCAGCGACGCCGCGGGGGGGAUGACGGCCUUCGGGUUGUAAACUCCUUUCGCUAGGGACGAAGCUUUUUGUGACGGUACCUAGAGAAGAAGCACCGGCUAACUACGUG